RNAcentral lists this long non-coding RNA (341 nucleotides) under Zostera marina. RNAcentral's name for it is "long non-coding RNA (ZMAR_LNC005268)". Lineage: Eukaryota; Viridiplantae; Streptophyta; Magnoliopsida; Alismatales; Zosteraceae. The record is from RNAcentral.
AGAAAUCAAGGAGCCGUCCAUUGAAGAUCCAAGGGUGGACAUUGAGUGGCCAAGGCUAUAAAUAGAAGGGUAAACCCCUCAUUUUCACUCACCACACUACAAGCAAACUCAAGAGCUUUCACUCCACACUUGCCCACACGUUUUUGCCUCCAAGCUUCCAAGCUUUCAAGUGCUCAAGUGUCCUAGCUUUCCAAAGCUUCAAAAGCUCUCAAACUUCUUCUUCUAAUCUUCUUGUUCAUCUUUACAAGUAAGAAGUGUUGUUUGCUUUAAUAUUCCACUCCUCUAAUCACCUCUUGUGUGUGUCCACUUUGGUUGAGAGGGUUGUCUCAAUAGUACCAAAG